This is a long non-coding RNA of Suricata suricatta (meerkat), 827 nucleotides long. RefSeq lists it as uncharacterized. The transcript has 2 exons. Lineage: Eukaryota; Metazoa; Chordata; Mammalia; Carnivora; Herpestidae. The record is from RefSeq and is a predicted model, not a curated record.
GGCCUUCAGAUGGAGAUAUGAUUGGCUGGAUAGGAGGCGUACACUCAAGUGUGUCCACAGCUGGAUCUGAUGUACGUGAUGACAUCCUAGACAUUGCGACUGAGCCCACUGACAUCAAAGAAUGCGACUUUAGGAAGACAUAAGGAAGGAGUGAAUAUACUUUACAUAUGCUCAGCCUGUAAUGCAGCCCUCACACUGUCACAGAGCCACACAGAGAGGCCAUGUGUUGUUCCAGCUGAAGACCCAGACAACCAGAAUCAACCACCACAUAUACAACCAAAUGAGCCUCUGGAUAAUUCCGGCCCCCAGGAUUCAAGUCUUCUAUCUGAGUUCCUGAACGUGAAAGAGCAGAGACAAUUCAUCCCCACAGUGCCCUGCCCAAAUUCCUGACCCACAGAAUCCACAAACAUAACAAAUGCUUGUUUAUACCACUAAAUUUUGGGGUCAUUUGUUAGGCAGAUGUAAUAGCUAGAACAAUUGCAGCAAAUGGAAUUAUGCUGUUGUAAGACAUGUAUAUUUAAUGUGAAAUAGUAUAAUAUUAAUUGUAAGUAGUCUACAAGUGAAUGGUGUAUAUUGUAAUCUCUAGGGUAACCACUAAAAAAAUUUAAAUAUGCAAAAAAGUGUAGAUAAAAAACCUAACAAAUAAAUUAAAAUGGAAUACCAACAGAAUUUGAUUUACUCAAAAGCAAGCUGGAAAGGAGAGACAGAGGAACAAAUAAAUAAUAGAUUCAGCAAAUAAAAAACAAAUAGUGAUUUGGUAGACUUCAACCCAUACUGUCAAUGACUUCAUUAAAUGUAAAUGGAUUAAAUAUUUCCAUUAAAAAAUA